CGGAAGGAUCAUUACUGAGUUACAAAGUCGGUCGACUGUGCUGGCGGAAACGCAUGUGCACGUCGGUCGCAAACCAAUCCACACACCUGUGAACACUUGGCUUGGGUGCAUUUUGGUGGUCUUCGGAUCCGUACCCGGGCAAUUUUUACACACUCUAUCAUUGUAAAGGAAUGUACCUGUGCUUAAUGCGCAAAAAAAUAAACAACUUUCAACAACGGAUCUCUUGGCUCUCGCAUCGAUGAAGAACGCAGCGAAAUGCGAUAAGUAAUGUGAAUUGCAGAAUUCAGUGAAUCAUCGAAUCUUUGAACGCACCUUGCACCCUUUGGUAUUCCGAAGGGUACACCCGUUUGAGUGUCAUUGUAAUCUCACUCUCAAAAUCUUUUUUGGGAUGUGGAAUUGGAUGUUGUCGUUCUUCGACUCGUCUUGAAUGUAUCAGUGUAUCCCGCUCGUCGGCGUAACAGUGUGAUAAGUAUCUUCACUGGUAGUCUCUUCGGAGGCGCGCUUUCAGGUGGGCCUCUGCGCUUACACCGUCUUCNGACAAUUUACUGACAAUUUGACCUCAAAUCGGGUGGGACUACCCGCUGAACUUAAGCAUAUCAAUAAGCGGAGGAAAAGAAACAAACAAGGAUUUCCUCUAGUAACGGCGAGUGAAGAGGGAAAAGCUCAAAUUUUGAAUCUGACGUCUUCGGCGUUCGAGUUGUAAUCUAGAGAAGUGUUUUCCGUACUGGACCGUGCACAGUUCCCUGGAACGGGGCGUCAUAGAGGGUGAGAAUCCCGUAU
This 780-nucleotide ribosomal RNA is filed under the name uncultured fungus. RNAcentral's name for it is "eukaryotic LSU rRNA". The stretch from base 555 to 780 matches the Rfam family "Eukaryotic large subunit ribosomal RNA", at positions 1 to 226 of the family's 3401-position model. The record is from RNAcentral. Lineage: Eukaryota; Fungi.